This 381-nucleotide long non-coding RNA is filed under the name Brassica napus (rape). RNAcentral describes it as "long non-coding RNA (BNAP_LNC006754)". The record is from RNAcentral. Lineage: Eukaryota; Viridiplantae; Streptophyta; Magnoliopsida; Brassicales; Brassicaceae.
UUUACACUAAGUAAACACCUCACCAAUUCAAUAUUGAUCAAGAGACAUAGCCUAUCAAUCAUCUACAAUCAGUGCAUUCAAUCAAGAAAUAUUCAUUCACUACUCAUCAAUCAUCUAUCUAGACUCACCUUUGAUUCUUUGAGAUUGGCUAAUCAAGACUAGACUCGAGCUCAAGCUAAUCACACUCCACUUUCAGUACACUUGAGAUUCAAAACAGUCACAAUUAUCUGACUGAUCCGACCACUCUCCUUGAUAUCUGAAUUCAAACCAAGUGUCUGAGCGGCUACAAUGAGUGACUGGACCGAUCUAGCAAAACUCCACAACCAAUUAGACAGAAAACGGUUUUACAUGAUGAACCAGUCUUAUCCUUCAACUUUACUC